RNAcentral lists this ribosomal RNA (301 nucleotides) under uncultured bacterium. Its description in RNAcentral is "partial 16S ribosomal RNA". It matches the Rfam family "Bacterial small subunit ribosomal RNA", at positions 509 to 809 of the family's 1533-position model. The record is from RNAcentral.
CAGCCGCCGCGGUAACACGUAGGGUGCAAGCGUUAAUCGGAAUUACUGGGCGUAAAGCGUGCGCAGGCGGUUAUAUAAGACAGAUGUGAAAUCCCCGGGCUCAACCUGGGAACUGCAUUUGUGACUGUAUAGCUAGAGUACGGCAGAGGGGGAUGGAAUUCCGCGUGUAGCAGUGAAAUGCGUAGAUAUGCGGAGGAACACCGAUGGCGAAGGCAAUCCCCUGGGCCUGUACUGACGCUCAUGCACGAAAGCGUGGGGAGCAAACAGGAUUAGAUACCCGCGUAGUCCCUGUCUCUUAUAA